GAUAACAACAGGAAAAACAUGGCGGACAGAGCAGUUUCUAAAGCAAGUCUUGAAUUUUUCCAAACGCUGAUAAAUUCCACUGAAAGCUUUGCUGACGAUAAAGUAUGUGUAAUUGGUAUCAUUGGUAAAGGUAGUUUUGGCCACAAGUGUAAAGCCCGCCAUAUUAACUCUGCUAUAGAGAAAGAUUUAUUCAAGCUUGGGUUUGUCAAUAAAUUCUCGAAAUCAUCCAGCAGUUCUGUAUCUCCU
Molecule: long non-coding RNA, 246 nt
Organism: Actinia tenebrosa (Australian red waratah sea anemone)
Lineage: Eukaryota; Metazoa; Cnidaria; Anthozoa; Actiniaria; Actiniidae
Source: RefSeq, a predicted model, not a curated record